RNAcentral lists this ribosomal RNA (439 nucleotides) under uncultured bacterium. Its description in RNAcentral is "partial 16S ribosomal RNA". It matches the Rfam family "Bacterial small subunit ribosomal RNA", at positions 339 to 795 of the family's 1533-position model. The record is from RNAcentral.
CUACGGGGGGCAGCAGUGGGGAAUAUUGCACAAUGGGGGAAACCCUGAUGCAGCAACGCCGCGUGGAGGAUGACGCAUUUCGGUGUGUAAACUCCUUUUAUAUAGGAAGAUAAUGACGGUACUAUAUGAAUAAGCACCGGCUAACUCCGUGCCAGCAGCCGCGGUAAUACGGAGGGUGCAAGCGUUACUCGGAAUCACUGGGCGUAAAGCGCGCGCAGGCGGCCUUUUAAGUUGGAUGUGAAAGCCUAUGGCUUAACCAUAGAACUGCAUCCAAAACUAUCAGGCUAGAGUCUGGGAGGGGAAGAUGGAAUUAGUUGCGUAGGGGUAAAAUCCGUAGAGAUAACUAGGAAUACCAAAAGCGAAGGCGAUCUUCUGGAACAGUACUGACGCUGAGGCGCGAAAGCGUGGGGAGCAAACAGGAUUAGAUACCCGGGUAGUC